CCUUUAUCAGGGGGAUAGCCUUUCGAAAGGAAGAUUAAUACCCCAUAAUAUAAUGAGUGGCAUCACUUAUUAUUGAAAACUCCGGUGGAUAGAGAUGGGCACGCGCAAGAUUAGAUAGUUGGUAGGGUAACGGCCUACCAAGUCAGUGAUCUUUAGGGGGCCUGAGAGGGUGAUCCCCCACACUGGUACUGAGACACGGACCAGACUCCUACGGGAGGCAGCAGUGAGGAAUAUUGGACAAUGGGUGAGAGCCUGAUCCAGCCAUCCCGCGUGAAGGACGACGGCCCUAUGGGUUGUAAACUUCUUUUGUAUAGGGAUAAACCUUUCCACGUGUGGAAAGCUGAAGGUACUAUACGAAUAAGCACCGGCUAACUCCGUGCCAGCAGCCGCGGUAAUACGGAGGGUGCAAGCGUUAUCCGGAUUUAUUGGGUUUAAAGGGUCCGUAGGCGGAUCUGUAAGUCAGUGGUGAAAUCUCAUAGCUUAACUAUGAAACUGCCAUUGAUACUGCAG
Molecule: ribosomal RNA, 510 nt
Filed under: uncultured Chryseobacterium sp.
Lineage: Bacteria; Pseudomonadati; Bacteroidota; Flavobacteriia; Flavobacteriales; Weeksellaceae
Description: bacterial SSU rRNA
Rfam family: Bacterial small subunit ribosomal RNA
Source: RNAcentral